RNAcentral lists this small nuclear RNA (23 nucleotides) under Arabidopsis thaliana (thale cress). Its description in RNAcentral is "snRNA_07789". The record is from RNAcentral. Lineage: Eukaryota; Viridiplantae; Streptophyta; Magnoliopsida; Brassicales; Brassicaceae.
UAACGCAGCGAUUACAAAAAGAA